GAGUUUGAUCGUGGCUCAGAUUGAACGCUGGCGGCGUGCUUAACACAUGCAAGUCGAGCGGUAACAGGCGUAGCAAUACGUGCUGACGAGCGGCGAACGGGUGAGUAAUGCUUCGGAAUCUUCCUCGUAGUGGGGAAUAACCUGGGGAAACUCAGGCUAAUACCGCAUACGAACUACGGUUGAAAGCAGGGGAUCGCAAGACCUUGCGCUAUGAGAUGAGCCGAAGUCGGAUUAGCUAGUUGGUGAGGUAACGGCUCACCAAGGCGACGAUCCGUAGCUGGUCUGAGAGGACGACCAGCCACACUGGGACUGAGACACGGCCCAGACUCCUACGGGAGGCAGCAGUGGGGAAUAUUGGACAAUGGGGGCAACCCUGAUCCAGCGACGCCGCGUGUGUGAAGAAGGCCUGCGGGUUGUAAAGCAC
RNAcentral lists this ribosomal RNA (424 nucleotides) under uncultured Gammaproteobacteria bacterium. RNAcentral describes it as "bacterial SSU rRNA". It matches the Rfam family "Bacterial small subunit ribosomal RNA", at positions 9 to 433 of the family's 1533-position model. The record is from RNAcentral. Lineage: Bacteria; Pseudomonadati; Pseudomonadota; Gammaproteobacteria.